AACGAACGCUGGCGGCAGGCUUAACACAUGCAAGUCGAACGCAUGCCUUCGGGCAUGAGUGGCAGACGGGUGAGUAACGCGUGGGAACCUACCCCUUGGUACGGGAUAGCUCCGGGAAACUGGAGAUAAUACCGUAUGUGUCCUGAGGGACAAAGAUUCAUCGCCAAGGGAUGGGCCCGCGUCGGAUUAGCUAGUUGGUGGGGUAACGGCCUACCAAGGCGACGAUCCGUAGCUGGUCUAAGAGGAUGAUCAGCCACAUUGGGACUGAGACACGGCCCAAACUCCUACGGGAGGCAGCAGUGGGGAAUAUUGGACAAUGGGCGCAAGCCUGAUCCAGCCAGGCCGCGGGAGUGAUGAAGGCCCUAGGGUUGUAAAGCUCUUUCACCGGUGACGAUAAUGACGGUAACCGGAGAAGAAGCCCCGGCUAACUUCGU
This 434-nucleotide ribosomal RNA is filed under the name uncultured bacterium. RNAcentral describes it as "partial 16S ribosomal RNA". It matches the Rfam family "Bacterial small subunit ribosomal RNA", at positions 29 to 506 of the family's 1533-position model. The record is from RNAcentral.